UACGGGGGAGCAAGCGUUGUUCGGAUUUACUGGCGUAAAGGCGCGUAGGCGGCGUGACAAGUCACUUGUGAAUCUCCGGCUUAACCCGGAGCGGCCAAGUGAUACUGUCGUGCUAGAGUGCGGAAGGGCUACUGGAAUUCUCGGUGUAGCGGUGAAUGCGUAGAUAUCGAGAGGAACACCUGCGGCGAAGGCGGUCAGCUGGCCGACACGUGACGCUGAGCGCGAAGCAGGAGCGAACGG
RNAcentral lists this ribosomal RNA (240 nucleotides) under uncultured bacterium. RNAcentral describes it as "partial 16S ribosomal RNA". It matches the Rfam family "Bacterial small subunit ribosomal RNA", at positions 524 to 775 of the family's 1533-position model. The record is from RNAcentral.